This 1252-nucleotide long non-coding RNA is filed under the name Homo sapiens (human). RNAcentral describes it as "non-protein coding LINC01032:1". Lineage: Eukaryota; Metazoa; Chordata; Mammalia; Primates; Hominidae. The record is from RNAcentral.
CUUUAUUCUUAAAACUCAAAACUCACAUUUCUUCUCUAUAACAUUUAAAGAUUCCAUCAACCCAAUGCAAAUUCUUUUUCUCUUCACCAUAGUCAAAAACAUAUCAAGCACUUAAAGGGGCUAUCUUUUCAAAAUUGUGAUUUAAAAAACUCACAAAAUCAGAAUUGCUAGUUUUGUGAUAGCAUUACUUAAAGGAAGAUGGGCAAGGAGGGUGUUGCAACCAGAGUUUUAGCAGGAGGCAUUACAUCACAGUAAGCUGCGUCACGGGUGUCAUUUGUGAUGAUUUGAAACCAUAGAAACAAAUCAAAGCUACAGCUCAUGUUUGCAUUGAGCUAAGAUUGCAGGCGCGUGAACUGUUCACACCACCAAAAAUGAGUAAUUUCACUGCUGUAGAAAGAAGACUAGUGACAAAGAUGGAACAGUGAGAAAAGCACCACAUCAGAACUCUGUGAAUCUCUUGCUACUAAUUUUGCUCAAGUACCCAUCCCUUUAGCAUACCACCUAUGUUUAAGGAAAUGGCUCCAUCCCCAACUCAGGCAAAUGUAUUCUGAUUAUUUUAAGCCAUUUAUCUUAGUUCCAUGGUAUCCUUUUUAGGCCAAAGAGAUAUGAGGAGGGGUUGGAUGAAGGCUUCUGGAAAAAUUUCUCCACUUUUAAGUAGGUAACACUGAAAAAUCAGACCUUUUCAGCUUCUCCACUUCAUUCUGUCUGGAUGUGAUACCUAGAAAUGCUACCAGCUGAGGAAGAAGCCAAAAUGUGGAGAAGGACAGAAUCAAGAGAAUUGCAAAGAAGCUGAGUUGGAAUCCUGACAAACCACGCUGGAGUGGCCCUACCUCCGUUGUUUCAGGCAUUUUGAGUCAGGGCUUUCUGGUACUUACAGUCAAAGGCAUCUAAAUGACAGUCUCCAAAAUUCACCAUAGCAUUGUCUCUGUGAGAUAGAGGAAAAGAUGAAGAUGUGAAAAAUGGAGCACAGAAAGAUUACAAUAUUGACCAAGAUCAUGAAUCUAGAAAGUGUCAUAGUCAGGACUUAAGUCUAAGUCCUCUGAUCUAGUGCUCUUUCCAUCAAAUGACAGCUAGAGGUUGGAGCAAACCUAUGAGUUAUGAGAGAAGUAGGAAGGCAGCUCCAGACCACUUGCAAGGAAACUGGGAUCUGCUCUGGGUUGUGUCAUCCACCAGCUGUGAAAACUUAGCUGAGUCAUUUUUAUUUCUCUGAGCCACAAUUUCAAGGAACUACACUAGACAAUCUAUUAUGUGC